GAAGGUGUGUCGUGAGGCAUGCUGGAGGUAUCAGAAGUGCGAAUGCUGACAUAAGUAACGAUAAAGCGGGUGAAAAGCCCGCUCGCCGGAAGACCAAGGGUUCCUGUCCAACGUUAAUCGGGGCAGGGUGAGUCGACCCCUAAGGCGAGGCCGAAAGGCGUAGUCGAUGGGAAACGGGUUAAUAUUCCCGUACUUGGUGUUACUGCGAAGGGGGGACGGAGAAGGCUAUGUUGGCCGGGCGACGGUUGUCCCGGUUUAAGUGUGUAGGUGUGUGUUCCAGGUAAAUCCGGUUCACUUUAACACUGAGGCGUGACGACGAGGCACUACGGUGCUGAAGCAACAAAUGCCCUGCUUCCAGGAAAAGCCUCUAAGCAUCAGGUAACAUCAAAUCGUACCCCAAACCGACACAGGUGGUCAGGUAGAGAAUACCAAGGCGCUUGAGAGAACUCGGGUGAAGGAACUAGGCAAAAUGGUGCCGUAACUUCGGGAGAAGGCACGCUGACACGUAGGUGAAGUGAUUUACUCAUGGAGCUGAAGUCAGUCGAAGAUACCAGCUGGCUGCAACUGUUUAUUAAAAACACAGCACUGUGCAAACACGAAAGUGGACGUAUACGGUGUGACGCCUGCCCGGUGCCGGAAGGUUAAUUGAUGGGGUCAGCGCAAGCGAAGCUCCUGAUCGAAGCCCCGGUAAACGGCGGCCGUAACUAUAACGGUCCUAAGGUAGCGAAAUUCCUUGUCGGGUAAGUUCCGACCUGCACGAAUGGCGUAAUGAUGGCCAGGCUGUCUCCACCCGAGACUCAGUGAAAUUGAACUCGCUGUGAAGAUGCAGUGUACCCGCGGCAAGACGGAAAGACCCCGUGAACCUUUACUAUAGCUUGACACUGAACAUUGAGCCUUGAUGUGUAGGAUAGGUGGGAGGCUUUGAAGUGUGGACGCCAGUCUGCAUGGAGCCGACCUUGAAAUACCACCCUUUAAUGUUUGAUGUUCUAACGUGGACCCGUUACCCGGGUUGCGGACAGUGUCUGGUGGGUAGUUUGACUGGGGCGGUCUCCUCCUAAAGAGUAACGGAGGAGCACGAAGGUUGGCUAAUCCUGGUCGGACAUCAGGAGGUUAGUGCAAUGGCAUAAGCCAGCUUGACUGCGAGCGUGACGGCGCGAGCAGGUGCGAAAGCAGGUCAUAGUGAUCCGGUGGUUCUGAAUGGAAGGGCCAUCGCUCAACGGAUAAAAGGUACUCCGGGGAUAACAGGCUGAUACCGCCCAAGAGUUCAUAUCGACGGCGGUGUUUGGCACCUCGAUGUCGGCUCAUCACAUCCUGGGGCUGAAGUAGGUCCCAAGGGUAUGGCUGUUCGCCAUUUAAAGUGGUACGCGAGCUGGGUUUAGAACGUCGUGAGACAGUUCGGUCCCUAUCUGCCGUGGGCGCUGGAGAACUGAGGGGGGCUGCUCCUAGUACGAGAGGACCGGAGUGGACGCAUCACUGGUGUUCGGGUUGUCAUGCCAAUGGCACUGCCCGGUAGCUAAAUGCGGAAGAGAUAAGUGCUGAAAGCAUCUAAGCACGAAACUUGCCCCGA
This 1567-nucleotide ribosomal RNA is filed under the name Salmonella enterica. Its description in RNAcentral is "partial 23S ribosomal RNA". It matches the Rfam family "Bacterial large subunit ribosomal RNA", at positions 1252 to 2802 of the family's 2925-position model. Lineage: Bacteria; Pseudomonadati; Pseudomonadota; Gammaproteobacteria; Enterobacterales; Enterobacteriaceae. The record is from RNAcentral. RNAcentral also lists the same sequence under 1 other name.